GUUAAAUCCGGCCGCCCUCUUGGUUGUCUUGGCAACCGCAUCAACGCGCUCCGGCCCCGCCCUCCGCGCAGGCGCAGGGGACCGAUGAUCGCGCAUUACUUCCUGGAGAUGGAUAAUCUCACAUUACUGCCCCCUGGCGGCCCAACGGAAGUAUCCUCCAGGCUUCGCCUGGCCCCCAGGUGGCCUCCAGCGCUAAAGGUCAUCGAGUCCCGCCGCGAUCUGGUCCGGGGGGCUAAUUACACCCCGUCUUCCCCGGCCUCCCGCCUGACCGCCCACCACGCUGGAUGCCCCCGCAACCCAGUCAUUGUCUUCAGGGCGAUGGCCAUCCCCUCCCAGGCACAUCCCCCUCCUAGGAAGAGGCUGGAGCCCAGUUUAUUCCAAAUUUUCACGUCUUUUUUUAAUUU
Cebus imitator (Panamanian white-faced capuchin) is the source of this 404-nucleotide long non-coding RNA. RefSeq lists it as uncharacterized. Lineage: Eukaryota; Metazoa; Chordata; Mammalia; Primates; Cebidae. The record is from RefSeq and is a predicted model, not a curated record. The transcript is spliced from 2 exons.